Molecule: long non-coding RNA, 210 nt
Filed under: Homo sapiens (human)
Lineage: Eukaryota; Metazoa; Chordata; Mammalia; Primates; Hominidae
Description: non-protein coding lnc-LNPEP-6:2
Source: RNAcentral
GCAAACAACUUCUACUCUAGGCAAAGUGACUUCCAACAAGACAGGGGUAAAAGAACCUGAGCUAGAGUCCAGACAACCAAAUCUGUUAAAGUCUAUCCUGCAGUCUACGGGCAAAGUCACUAAAAAUGUGCAGCUUUUUACUGAGGCUCCAGAUUUCAAGAGCAAAAUAAAAGCUGCCAAAUAGAAGUGCUAGACAACCUAUUCUGGGUA